GAUAAACGCUGGCGGCGUGCCUAACACAUGCAAGUCGAACGCCCUGGCGCUCUUCGGAGCGCGAGGGAGUGGCGGACGGGUGAGUAACACAUGGGUGACCUACCCCACAGUGAGGAAUACCGGCGAGAAAUCGCCGACAAGACCGCAUAGGCUUUCUGGGAUGAACCGAGGAAGCAAAGUCGCAAGACGCUGAGGGAUGGGCCUGUGGCCGAUUAGCUGGUUGGUGGGGUAAGAGCCUACCAAGGCGACGAUCGGUAGCUGGUCUGAGAG
This 270-nucleotide ribosomal RNA is filed under the name uncultured bacterium. Its description in RNAcentral is "partial 16S ribosomal RNA". It matches the Rfam family "Bacterial small subunit ribosomal RNA", at positions 28 to 298 of the family's 1533-position model. The record is from RNAcentral.